Molecule: long non-coding RNA, 1001 nt
Organism: Gadus morhua (Atlantic cod)
Lineage: Eukaryota; Metazoa; Chordata; Actinopteri; Gadiformes; Gadidae
Exons: 4
Source: RefSeq, a predicted model, not a curated record
UAUUGGAUCCAUUGGGCCCGAUUUUAGUGUGGAACGGGAAUGCAAGUAGCUUUGUGCGCAGAUCUCUGGCGCUGUUGCUAUUAUACCGGAUAAAUGACUCUUGCGCCCGACGCAACUCUAAAAAGGGUUGGUCUGAAUACCCGUAGGUGUGUUUUGGGCUUAGCAUGCAAUAAACCAAUGUGAGUUUGAUUUCCCAUCUCCUUUAGGAGCCAUGAGCACAUUUGAACUUGACGAGUUGAUAUUUCGACAGGGCGUUUGCGGUCUCCGCUGAGACAGAUGCAUGACCACAUGAAUUGUGAUGCCGCGGCUCAUUGGUGCGCCCUCACGCGUCCUCGUUGUGGCCACACCAAACUUUUCUAUGCUGUUUUAGUCAACUAUGGACUUGUGUUCAUAGUAUGCAUGUGUCCCCCCGUUAAUAUACAUUGCCAUGGACAGUAAUAUACGCUAGGUGUUUGGUUUGCGUGUGUUUAAACAGAUGGGUGCACACAUAUUGUUGAACUGCGCUCAAAACAUCAACCACAUUCAUUCAUUCUUUUAAACACUCACUCACGCUAAAACUAUGUUUUUUCAUCAAUCUUAAAAGUUAUGGCCUUGUACACGAUGUGUGUCAAUGGAUAACCUGUUAUAUGGAUAUGCCUGUUGAAUCCCGUCCUCUGUUUUUAUUUGUUGUUAUUUGUAGGUAUUCCUGAACCAAAACUAUGUGAAAUUAACCAUCCUCUGUCGGUCGGCCUUCAUCAUUUCCAUCAUCAUUCUGAUAAUCUUUUAUUGCUGGAGGAAAAAGAAGCAUCAUACAGAAAACCUUGAUUCUGAACAGAGUUCAAACUGUGACCAAGCUGCCGCCAUCUAUAUGAAUGUGAGUCUGUUAGGACCCCCUCCUCUCCCUUUGGAGCCCACUCACAUAGAACUCAACCCCAUAAGCACCUAGGAGGCUCUAUGGGAGACAUUGACUGUAGGUUUAAACUUCUGCUGCCCCUGAGAUGAACCACGGUUACUGAGCUGAC